RNAcentral lists this ribosomal RNA (301 nucleotides) under uncultured bacterium. RNAcentral describes it as "partial 16S ribosomal RNA". It matches the Rfam family "Bacterial small subunit ribosomal RNA", at positions 509 to 807 of the family's 1533-position model. The record is from RNAcentral.
CAGUAGCCGCGGGAAUACGUAGGUGGCAAGCGUUGUCCGGAAUUAUUGGGCGUAAAGGGCUCGCAGGCGGUUUCUUAAGUCUGAUGUGAAAGCCCCCGGCUCAACCGGGGAAGGUCAUUGGAAACUGGGAAACUUGAGUGCAGAAGAGGAGAGUGGAAUUCCACGUGUAGCGGUGAAAUGCGUAGAGAUGUGGAGGAACACCAGUGGCGAAGGCGACUCUCUGGUCUGUAACUGACGCUGAGGAGCGAAAGCGUGGGGAGCGAACAGGAUUAGAUACCCCUGUAGUCCCUGUCUCUUAUAC